This 352-nucleotide long non-coding RNA is filed under the name Populus tremula. RNAcentral's name for it is "long non-coding RNA (PTRE_LNC002485)". The record is from RNAcentral. Lineage: Eukaryota; Viridiplantae; Streptophyta; Magnoliopsida; Malpighiales; Salicaceae.
UUACAAGUCAUCUGACAGUUUAGACAGGUUCAUCGAGAGAUUCAAACAGCUGGUCACCCUAUCAAGCUAGAGCUAUGAUGAAUCCUGGUUUUAUAGAGUGGAAUUAUGCUUUUUAAUGCCUUGAAGCAAGCACGGAGAAACAGAGCAGGGACUAAUCAAACAAUCAUGGCCGUAGAGAGUGGGGACUUUCUUCAAGAUCAUCCAUCGAGGAUCAAACAAUCGAAGUUGCGUGAUUGGGAGCUGGGAAAAUAGCAUGUGCUCUUGGAGCCAUUGAUGAGAGGAGGAGUGGAUGGAGGGAAGUUCUUGAGUAUAAAAUCCUUUUUAGCUGGAAGCAGGAACUUAUUAAGAAGGG